AGUUCGGAUUGAAGGCUGAAAUUCGCCUUCAUGAAGCUGGAAUUGCUAGUAAUGGCAGGUCAGCAUACUGCCGUGAAUACGUUCCCGGGCCUUGUACACACCGCCCGUCACACCAUGAGAGUUGGGAAUACCCGAAGCCUGUGAGCUAACUUAUAGAGGCAGCAGUCGAAGGUAGAAUCAAUGAUUGGGGUGAAGUCGUAACAAGGUAUC
Molecule: ribosomal RNA, 210 nt
Filed under: uncultured bacterium
Lineage: Bacteria
Description: partial 16S ribosomal RNA
Rfam family: Bacterial small subunit ribosomal RNA
Source: RNAcentral